GAUUGAACGCUGGCGGCAGGCCUAACACAUGCAAGUCGAACGGUAGCACAGAGAGCUUGCUCUUGGGUGACGAGUGGCGGACGGGUGAGUAAUGUCUGGGAAACUGCCCGAUGGAGGGGGAUAACUACUGGAAACGGUAGCUAAUACCGCAUAACGUCUUCGGACCAAAGUGGGGGACCUUCGGGCCUCACACCAUCGGAUGUGCCCAGAUGGGAUUAGCUAGUAGGUGGGGUAAUGGCUCACCUAGGCGACGAUCCCUAGCUGGUCUGAGAGGAUGACCAGCCACACUGGAACUGAGACACGGUCCAGACUCCUACGGGAGGCAGCAGUGGGGAAUAUUGCACAAUGGGCGCAAGCCUGAUGCAGCCAUGCCGCGUGUAUGAAGAAGGCCUUCGGGUUGUAAAGUACUUUCAGCGGGGAGGAAGGCGAUGGAGUUAAUAGCUUCAUCGAUUGACGUUACCCGCAGAAGAAGCACCGGCUAACUCCGUGCCAGCAGCCGCGGUAAUACGGAGGGUGCAAGCGUUAAUCGGAAUUACUGGGCGUAAAGCGCACGCAGGCGGUCUGUCAAGUCGGAUGUGAAAUCCCCGGGCUUAACCUGGGAACUGCAUUCGAAACUGGCAGGCUAGAGUCUUGUAGAGGGGGGUAGAAUUCCAGGUGUAGCGGUGAAAUGCGUAGAGAUCUGGAGGAAUACCGGUGGCGAAGGCGGCCCCCUGGACAAAGACUGACGCUCAGGUGCGAAAGCGUGGGGAGCAAACAGGAUUAGAUACCCUGGUAGUCCACGCCGUAAACGAUGUCGACUUGGAGGUCGUGCCCUGAGGCGUGGCUUCCGGAGCUAACGCGUUAAGUCGACCGCCUGGGGAGUACGGCCGCAAGGUUAAAACUCAAAUGAAUUGACGGGGGCCCGCACAAGCGGUGGAGCAUGUGGUUUAAUUCGAUGCAACGCGAAGAACCUUACCUACUCUUGACAUCCAGCGAAUUCGGUAGAGAUACCUUAGUGCCUUCGGGAACGCUGAGACAGGUGCUGCAUGGCUGUCGUCAGCUCGUGUUGUGAAAUGUUGGGUUAAGUCCCGCAACGAGCGCAACCCUUAUCCUUUGUUGCCAGCGGUCCGGCCGGGAACUCAAAGGAGACUGCCAGUGAUAAACUGGAGGAAGGUGGGGAUGACGUCAAGUCAUCAUGGCCCUUACGAGUAGGGCUACACACGUGCUACAAUGGCGCAUACAAAGAGAAGCGACCUCGCGAGAGCAAGCGGACCUCAUAAAGUGCGUCGUAGUCCGGAUUGGAGUCUGCAACUCGACUCCAUGAAGUCGGAAUCGCUAGUAAUCGUAGAUCAGAAUGCUACGGUGAAUACGUUCCCGGGCCUUGUACUCACCG
RNAcentral lists this ribosomal RNA (1372 nucleotides) under uncultured bacterium. RNAcentral's name for it is "bacterial SSU rRNA". It matches the Rfam family "Bacterial small subunit ribosomal RNA", at positions 27 to 1392 of the family's 1533-position model. The record is from RNAcentral.